Camelus dromedarius (Arabian camel) is the source of this 782-nucleotide long non-coding RNA. RefSeq lists it as uncharacterized. The record is from RefSeq and is a predicted model, not a curated record. The transcript has 3 exons. Lineage: Eukaryota; Metazoa; Chordata; Mammalia; Artiodactyla; Camelidae.
UACAUUCCUUUUUAUAUUUUCAUUAUAGUUUACUACAUGAUCUUGAAUAUAGUUCCCUGUGCUCUACAGUAGAAACUUGUUUAUCUGUUUUAUAUAUAGUAGUUAGUAUCUGCAAAUCUUGAACUCCCAAUUUAUCCCUUCCCAUCCCCAUUCCCUACCUCCUUCCCCUCCCCCCAUAACCAUAAGUCUGUUUUCUAUGUCUGUGAGUCAUAGACACACUCCCUUUUGAGGAGACAGAUUCCUUUCUGAGGAGGACGGAGACCUAUCCAAAGCACCCACCCAGGAAGAGGCAGGUAAAGUUCAGAAACAACGUUUGCCCAGCGGUGAAAAGCAAGAAGAUAAAAUUCCUGCAUUUGCUGAAACAAGCCAGAGAAUGACAUGACUCAAUCUGGACAAAUAACCAAGACCUCAAACAGCAAGACUAAAGACAACACACCACUGCUGUUUUGUACCAAUAGCAGUAUUUUCAGUGAAUCCACUGUAAGAGAUUAAGAUCUGGAAAGAAAUGGGUAGCUCACAUGGAGAAUAACUCAAGAGGCAAGACUAACAGAGUGACUUCGGAAAAGCACUGAGGAAGGAAAAGCCAAAUUAAAGACAGCUGUAAAACCCUGGACAUUCGCGACCACUGUCGGCUGGCAGGUUACCUGUCUCCAUGGGAAUGCUCUCGUCCUCCUUCUUCUCUUCCGGCUUACUGGCCGCCUGCUCGUCCGCGGGGACAAUGCCGCUCUGGCUGCGUUCAGCUUGCUCUGCUGCCUCCCUCUCCCUUUCCUCCUGUCUUUUGC